UAAUAUCAACCGCUUCCCAUGCCUCGAGGUCAUGGGACCUUACUUAGGGGAGAAAAUCCUAUUUAAGGAAGUAGCAUGCGGUGUGACGACGUGGCUCCAUACCCUGAAAAUAAGGUCAAUCUUAUAGCUAACUGGUGAGUAUUAACUUACCAUUUAGCUAUAUAUUGCCUUCAGGGGAGGUGGACGGAGCAGAGCCCCGCCCUCCCUCCGGGGGGUCUGGUACACAUCUUAUACAUACCAUACUCCUAAGGCAUAGUAAUAGGUAGUCUAUAGCAUAGACUACCUUAAACACAUUAUACUAUAGAUUAGACCCUAUAACAUAGGGUCUUACAUUAAGUGUCAUACCUAUAACGCUACUCCUUACCUUAUCUAGUAGUUAGUUAUGGUAUAAGGAGUAGCUAUACUGUACUGUAUACAUAUGAAUAGGUAAGGUAAAGGCCUUAUUCGAUUACCUAAGAAGGUAAUCUAGGCCUUGUUCCGCUACCCUUACUCUAUAUAAAGGUAAGGUAAAGGCCUUACUCGAUUACCUAAGAAGGUAAUCUAGGCCUUGUUCCGCUACCCUGACCCAUACUCUAUUCCUAUAAGUGAAGUAAGACAUAUACUCUAUUACUCGUACAUACAAACCAUAUCCCUAUAGAUCUAUCGUUCCUGACCCACACCCGUGGAUCAGUCACUUAUUCCCCUCAAUCGCCGGGGGCUCACUACCUCCCCUCAAUCGCCGGGGGCUACCUCCCACUCCUCCCCUCAGUCGCCGGGGGCUAACAACAACACCCUAUAUUAUCGCUCCCGACCCCUACCCAGGGUUCUAUCGCUUACUUCUGAUUAAUAUCGUAUGCGGUUGUAGAAACUCGAUCAAUAACUCAAGUUGGCGAACGUCGGUCCUAGAAUAAGCGUUGAGGAAGACUGAUGGUGUGGAAUUUAUUAGGGCUACGGUACCGUAACAACACCCCUCUCAAUCUCCGCUCUGCUCUAGGCUCGGUAGCUAGACUCCCAGUCCCCGUGGAUGGUCAGAAUGAACCGGAGGGGCUCAUUUCCGAGCAUA
Molecule: non-coding RNA, 1042 nt
Organism: Lupinus albus (white lupine)
Lineage: Eukaryota; Viridiplantae; Streptophyta; Magnoliopsida; Fabales; Fabaceae
Source: the annotation of a GenBank genome assembly